AGGAAUAUUGGUCAAUGGACGAGAGUCUGAACCAGCCAAGUAGCGUGAAGGAUGACUGCCCUAUGGGUUGUAAACUUCUUUUAUACGGGAAUAAAGUGGUCCACGUGUGGAUUUUUGUAUGUACCGUAUGAAUAAGGAUCGGCUAACUCCGUGCCAGCAGCCGCGGUAAUACGGAGGAUCCGAGCGUUAUCCGGAUUUAUUGGGUUUAAAGGGAGCGUAGGUGGACAGUUAAGUCAGUUGUGAAAGUUUGCGGCUCAACCGUAAAAUUGCAGUUGAUACUGGCUGUCUUGAGUACAGUAGAGGUGGGCGGAAUUCGUGGUGUAGCGGUGAAAUGCUUAGAUAUCACGAAGAACUCCGAUUGCGAAGGCAGCUCACUGGACUGCAACUGACACUGAUGCUCGAAAGUGUGGGUAUCAAACAGGAUUAGAUACCCUGGUAGUCCACACAGUAAACGAUGAAUACUCGCUGUUUGCGAUAUACAGUAAGCGGCCAAGCGAAAGCGUUAAGUAUUCCACCUGGGGAGUACGCCGGCAACGGUGAAACUCAAAGGAAUUGACGGGGGCCCGCACAAGCGGAGGAACAUGUGGUUUAAUUCGAUGAUACGCGAGGAACCUUACCCGGGCUUAAAUUGCAUUUGAAUAAUCAAGAAAUUGGUUAGUCGUAAGACAAAUGUGAAGGUGCUGCAUGGUUGUCGUCAGCUCGUGCCGUGAGGUGUCGGCUUAAGUGCCAUAACGAGCGCAACCCUUAUCUUCAGUUACUAACAGGUCAUGCUGAGGACUCUGGAGAGACUGCCGUCGUAAGAUGUGAGGAAGGUGGGGAUGACGUCAAAUCAGCACGGCCCUUACGUCCGGGGCUACACACGUGUUACAAUGGGGGGUACAGAAGGCAGCUACACGGCGACGUGAUGCCAAUCCCAAAAACCUCUCUCAGUUCGGAUCGAAGUCUGCAACCCGACUUCGUGAAGCUGGAUUCGCUAGUAAUCGCGCAUCAGCCAUGGCGCGGUGAAUACGUUCCCG
This 1016-nucleotide ribosomal RNA is filed under the name uncultured bacterium. Its description in RNAcentral is "bacterial SSU rRNA". It matches the Rfam family "Bacterial small subunit ribosomal RNA", at positions 357 to 1376 of the family's 1533-position model. The record is from RNAcentral.